Long non-coding RNA from Homo sapiens (human), 4485 nucleotides. Ensembl annotates it as zinc finger protein 702, pseudogene. Its record names the gene ZNF702P. NCBI's taxonomy places the organism in Eukaryota, Metazoa, Chordata, Mammalia, Primates, Hominidae. The record is from Ensembl.
AGGGUUCUCAGGCAUUUUGCAAAUACAUCUUUUAAGCUGUUUUAUCAGAGAUUGCUAUUAUCAUAGGAUUAAACCCACCCUCAAUAAUUCUUACAAUGGUGCAGGUGAUUCUCAUCUGUGUCCAGCAUUGAAAAUCAAGGCAGUUUCCUCCAUGUUGAGAGCUGAGAUCAGCCUGUGAUCCACAGGGAGCUGAGGGGGCUGUGCUCUGCAUGGGGUUUGGUUAGGGCCAGAUCUGUGCCCUGAAGGUCUGUGUCCUGCUGCAGUGUGUGUGUGGACUUUUCCAGGAGGGGAGCAAGAUCUGAAAACGGGUCAAAAUUACACUUGUAGGUCUUCCUGUGGGGCUUUGUUAUCUUGGCAUGAUCUCUGGUGUGGUGGGCAGCAGAGGACCAUCUUCCUACUGGGAUUGAUUUCCAAAAACUCCUGUUACAUGAGGAAGACACCAAGAAGAGCAAAGAAAAGGAGCCAGGGUGGCUCUUCCUCAGGUGAAGUGGAUAUUUCUCGGUGGAUUAAUCUGUCUCUUUCCUUUCUGAAAUGCCAGCUAUCUCUUCCAAAUGCAUGACAAGGAAGUUCUCAUCAAGAAGGCAAGGCAAUACAGAAGUGUUCCACACAGGGACAUUGCAAAGACAAGCAAGUCAUCACACUGGAGAUUUUUCCUUCCAGGAAAUUGAGAAAGAUUUUCAGGACUUUGAGUUUCAGUGGCAAGAAGAUGAAAGAAAUGGCCAUGAAGCACUCAUGACAGAGAUAAAAAAGUUGACAGGUAAUACAGACUGAUAUGAUCAAAGGCAUGCUGGAAACAAACCUAUUAAAGAUCAGCUUGGAUCAAGCUUUCAUUCACAUCUGCCUGAACUGCAUAUAUUGCAGAGCAAAGGGAAAAUUGAUAGUCAAGAUGAGAAGUCUGUCAAUGAUGCUUCCUCAGUUUCAGCAUCCCAAAGAAUUUCUUGUAUUCCUAAAACCCAUAUUUCUAAUAAGUAUGGGAAUAAUUUCCUCCAGGAAGCACACAUGAGAGAAAAAUCUUUCCAAUGUAAUGAGAGUGGCAAAGCCUUUAAUUGUAGCUCACUGUUAAAAAAAUGUCAGAUAAUCCAUUUAGGAGAGAAAAAAUAUAAAUGUGAUAUAUGUGGCAAGGUCUUUAAUCAGAAGCGAUACCUUGCAUACCAUCAUAGAUGUCACACUGGUGAGAAACCUUACAAGUGUAAUCAGUGUGGCAAGACCUUCAGUUACAAGUCAUCCCUUGUAAUUCACAAGGCAAUUCAUACUGGAGAGAAACCUCACAAGUGUAAUGAAUGUGGCAAGGUUUUUAAUCAAAAAGCAUAUCUUGCAAGUCAUCAUAGACUUCAUACUGGAGAGAAACCUUACAAAUGUGAAGAAUGUGACAAAGUUUUUAGUCGCUAAUCACACCUUGAAAGACAUAGGAGAAUUCAUACUGGAGAGAAACCGUACAAAUGUAAGGUUUGUGACAAGGCUUUCAGACGUGAUUCACACCUGGCACAACAUAUUGUAAUUCACACUGGAGAGAAACCUUACAAGUGUAAUGAGUGUGGCAAGACCUUUGUUCAAAAUUCAUCUCUUGUAAUGCAUAAGGUCAUUCAUACUGGAGAGAAAUGUUACAAGUGUAAUGAAUGUGGCAAGGUUUUUAAUCACAAAUCAAACCUUGCAUGUCAUCAUAGACUUCAUACUGGAGAGAAACCUUACAAGUGUAAUGAAUGUGGCAAGGUUUUUAAUUGAAAAUCAAACCUUGAACAUCAUCAUAGAGUUCAUAUCGGAGAAAAACCUUACAAAUGUGAAGAAUGUGACAAAGUUUUCAAUUUCAAUUCACGCCUUGAAAUACAUAGGAGAGUUCAUACUGGAGAGAAACCAUAGAAAUGUAAGGUUUGUGACAAGGCAUUCGGGUGUGAUUCACACCUGGCACAACAUACUAGAAUUCACACUGGAGAGAAACCGUGCAAGUGUGAUGAGUGUGACAGAGCCUUCAGUGGUCAGUCAACACUUAUUCACCAUCAAGCAAUCCAUGUCAUAGGGAAACUUUACUAAUGUAAUGAUUGUCACAAAGUCCUCAGUAAUGCUACAACCAUUGCAAAUUAUUGGAGAAUGCAUAAUGAAGUGAGAACUUACAAGUGUUAUAAAUGUGGCAAAUUUUUCAGACUUCGUUCAUACCUUGCAGUUUAUCAGCGAACUCAUACUGGAGAGAAACCUUACAAAUGUGAUGAUUGUGGCAAGGUCUUCAGUCAAGCUUCAUCUUAUGCAAAACACAGGUGAAUUCAUACAAGAAAGAAACCUCACAAGGGUGAUGAUUGUGUCAAAGCCUUUAUUUCAGGUUCAUGCCUCAUUACACAUCAGAGAAUCCAUACUAGACAGAGAUCUUACAAAAGUCAUAUGUGUGGCAAGAUCUUUAGUCUGAGGUCACUCCUUGCAGGACAUCAGGAAAUUCAUUUUUGAGGUAAUAAUUUCAAAUGCAAUGAGUAUAGCAAACCAUCAAGCACAAUUGAUGUUAGAUUCAAAUCAGCAUUGAGUUCAGUUUGAGUUGACUUAACAUUGAGUUCAAGUAUUUGUUGAGAUUAAAGUGUUUAUGUUAAGAGGAUUAGGCCAGGUGCGGUGGCUCACACCUGUAAUCCCAGCACUUUGGGAGGCCAAGACAGGUAGAUCACUUGAGAUCAGGAGUUUGAGAGCAGCCUGGCCAACAGAGGUGAGCACCUUUCCCAGUCUGUUUUUUGUUUCUUCAACAAAAACUGAUAGAGAUUUUUAUGGGUAUUGUGUUGAAUCAAAAUCACAUUGGGUUAUGUAAUCAUUUAACAGUAUUAAUUUUUCCAAAACAUCAAUAUGGGUUAUAUCUUUAUAUAUGUUUUUAAUCAUUUUGAUCAAUGUUUGUAGAUUUCAAUGUAUGAAUUUCUCACUUCUUUCCAUUUAUUCCUAUUUCUUACUUUAAGUUCUCUAGCAAAUGGAAGUGUUUUUAAAUUUUCAUUUAAAAUUGUUUAUUGUUAAUGUAUGAAAAUUCAACGAAUUUUUGGUGCUGAUAUUGUAUUGUGCAAAUCUACUGAUGUGUUUAUUAGUCACAGUAGUAUUUUGGUUGACUCUUUGUGAUUUUCUACACAGAAGAUCAUGUCAUCUACAAAAAAUAUAAUUUUACUUUUUCUGAUUUUGAGGCAUUUCAUUUCUUUUGCUAGUUCAUUGCUCUGGCUAGGACUUCCAGUAUUUAUUGAAUAGAAAAAGUGAGAACGUUCUUGCAUCAUGUGAGAUCCUACGGGAAAAGGAUUCUAUUUUCCCUGCUUGGUUAUCUCCACAUUGGUCAUUUCAUCAAUGGUCUUUCUAUUGGUGAGGUAAAUUUCCUUCUCCAUCUAUUUUGUUUAAGAUUUCUAUGAUGAUCAGAUGCUGAAUUUUGUGAAAUGAUUUUUCUCCAUCUGUUGAGAUGAUGUGGUUUUCAUCUUUCAUUCUGUUCAAGUGGUAUAUCACAUUGAUUUGCUUGAAUAUGUUGAACCAUCCUUGCAUGCCAGAAGUAAAUGGCACUUGCAUAUCUACAAUCCUUUUAUAUAUCCUCUUGAAUACAGUUUUCUAGUACAAGUGGUCUUCAAGAAGCUCAUGGAAAAAUACAUAUUAUGGAAAAAUUGUGCAUGAAUUUCACAGUUUUUGCACCAAAAUAAACUGAUACAAAUCUGUUAUAACAUGUCUGAACAGGCUCUAGUUUGAGGCACUGAGAAGGAUAAGACAUGAGUUUGAAAAGAGACUGUAUCAAAGGAAUACAAAUUCUGCUAAAAUUGAAACAAGAAGAAACAUAAAAUUUAUGAUGAGAACAGUUGCAGUGUCUCAGGUCUGUAAUUCCAGUAAUUUCAGAGGCCAAGACAGGUGGGUCACGUGAGCCCAGGCAUUCAGGACCAGCCUGGGCAACAUGGUGAAAACCCCUUCUAUACAAAAAAUACAGAAAUUCACUGGGCAGGGUGGCACCUGACUGCAGGGCCAGCUACUGUGGAGUCUGUAGCAUGAGGAUGGCAUGAGCCUGGGAGGUCGAGGCUGCAGUGAGCUGUGAUCUUGCCACUGCACUCCAGCAUGUCUCAAAAAAAGAAUACUUAUGGUAAAGUUUGGGUAGAUGAAUUAUGAUAUCAUUGAUGCUUUAUGAAAAGGUUAUGGGGACGAUGCCCAAAAGAAAUCAACAGUUUGUAAAUGGAUAACUAAUUUUGAGUUGGGAGAAGACAAUGUUGAAGGUUACACGUGGAGCAGCAGGCAGACCAUCCACAUCAGUUUCAGAGAAAAACAAUAAUCUUGUUUGUGCCGUGAUGAAGAGGACUGACAGCUAACAGCAGAAACAAUAGUCAGGAGGUUGAGAACAGGCUGGUUAACAUGGUGAAAUGCCAUCUCUAUUAAAAAUACAAAAAUUAGCUAGGUAUGGUCGCAGACACCUGUAAUCCCAGCUCCUUGGGAGGCUGAGGUGGGAGAAUCGCUUGAACCCAGGAGGUGGAAGUUGCAGUGAACCGAUAGUGCCAUUGCACUCCAGCCUGG